This 450-nucleotide ribosomal RNA is filed under the name uncultured bacterium. Its description in RNAcentral is "partial 16S ribosomal RNA". It matches the Rfam family "Bacterial small subunit ribosomal RNA", at positions 354 to 796 of the family's 1533-position model. The record is from RNAcentral.
GUGGGGAAUUUUGGACAAUGGGCGCAAGCCUGAUCCAGCAAUGCCGCGUGCAGGAAGAAGGCCUUCGGGUUGUAAACUGCUUUUGUACGGAACGAAACGGUCCUGGCUAAUAUCCGGGGCUAAUGACGGUACCGUAAGAAUAAGCACCGGCUAACUACGUGCCAGCAGCCGCGGUAAUACGUAGGGUGCGAGCGUUAAUCGGAAUUACUGGGCGUAAAGCGUGCGCAGGCGGUGCUGUAAGACAGGCGUGAAAUCCCCAGGCUCAACCUGGGAAUUGCGCUUGUGACUGCAGUGCUGGAGUGCGGCAGAGGGGGAUGGAAUUCCGCGUGUAGCAGUGAAAUGCGUAGAUAUGCGGAGGAACACCGAUGGCGAAGGCAAUCCCCUGGGCCUGCACUGACGCUCAUGCACGAAAGCGUGGGGAGCAAACAGGAUUAGAAACCCGGGUAGUCC